GUGCUUGCCUCAGCAGCACAUAUACUAAAAUCAGAAUGAUACAAAGAUUAGCAUGACCCCUGUGCAAGGAUGACAUGCAAAUUCAUGAAGUGUUCCAUAUUUUA
RNAcentral lists this small nuclear RNA (104 nucleotides) under Pteropus vampyrus (large flying fox). The record is from RNAcentral. Lineage: Eukaryota; Metazoa; Chordata; Mammalia; Chiroptera; Pteropodidae.